GGAGAGGUGCCAGAGUGGUUGAAUGGGACGGUCUCGAAAACCGUUGAACCCGCAAGGGUUCCGAGGGUUCGAAUCCCUCCCUCUCCGCCA
This 90-nucleotide transfer RNA is filed under the name bacterium. RNAcentral's name for it is "tRNA-Ser". It matches the Rfam family "tRNA". From Rfam's summary of the family: Transfer RNA (tRNA) molecules are approximately 80 nucleotides in length. RNAcentral also lists the same sequence under 1 other name. The record is from RNAcentral.